Molecule: ribosomal RNA, 478 nt
Filed under: uncultured bacterium
Lineage: Bacteria
Description: partial 16S ribosomal RNA
Rfam family: Bacterial small subunit ribosomal RNA
Source: RNAcentral
GACGAACGCUGGCGGCGUGCUUAACACAUGCAAGUCGAACGGUAAGGCCCUUCGGGGUACACGAGUGGCGAACGGGUGAGUAACACGUGGGUGAUCUGCCCUGCACUUCGGGAUAAGACUGGGAAACUGGGUCUAAUACCGGAUAGGACUCCGGACUGCAUGGUCUGGGGUGGAAAGCUUUUGCGGUGUGGGAGGGGCCCGCGUCCUGUCCGCUUGUUGGUGGGGUGAUGGCCUACCAAGGCGACGACGGGUAGCCGGCCUGAGAGGGUGACCGGCCACACUGGGACUGAGAUACGGCCCAGACUCCUACGGGAGGCAGCAGUGGGGAAUAUUGCACAAUGGGCGCAAGCCUGAUGCAGCGACGCCGCGUGAGGGAUGACGGCCUUCGGGUUGUAAACCUCUUUCAGCAUCGACGAAGCGAAAGUGACGGUAGGUGCAGAAGAAGGACCGGCCAACUACGUGCCAGCCGCCGCCGUAA